RNAcentral lists this long non-coding RNA (510 nucleotides) under Equus caballus (horse). Its description in RNAcentral is "lncRNA (ENSECAG00000047345.1)". Lineage: Eukaryota; Metazoa; Chordata; Mammalia; Perissodactyla; Equidae. The record is from RNAcentral.
CGGAGCCGGCCCUUCCCGCAGGCUCUCGUCCCGGCUUAUCCGGGUCAUCGGUGGCCCGGGGCCCGCCGGCGCGGAGCGUCCCUGGAAAGCUCCGAGGCACGUGGCGAAGGAGUGUUGUGAAGCGCUUAGGUGCUGGGUGCGGAGGUGGGAGAAAGGGCCGACGACGCUCCACACCCCGCUGCAGGCUCGGCCGCUCCCAGCCGGCGGGGAAAUCCCCGUCUAGGUCCUGUGUGCCUCUUUUUGGACCUGAGGUAAAUGGAAUCAUAAUGCGUAUGUACUCUUCUGGAUCCUUUUUCCUCACUCAGUGUUAUGUUUAUGACAUUCAUCUGUGUUGUUAUGAGUGGCAGUAAUUUGGUUUCAUCAUAUUUCGAUGACAGGUUUAAUCCUUAUGAAAACGUAAAGUAAAAUACAGGUACUAAUUUCUAAAUUGCAUUGUUCUGGGUGGUACCAUGAAGUAAGUAAAUAUGUAGCACAGUUUUAUCUGUUCUACCAGUGAAUUGGAAAAGAAGG